This 776-nucleotide ribosomal RNA is filed under the name Bursaphelenchus sp. P3851. RNAcentral describes it as "eukaryotic LSU rRNA". It matches the Rfam family "Eukaryotic large subunit ribosomal RNA", at positions 344 to 964 of the family's 3401-position model. The record is from RNAcentral. Lineage: Eukaryota; Metazoa; Nematoda; Chromadorea; Rhabditida; Aphelenchoididae.
ACAAGUACCGUGAGGGAAAGUUGAAAAGUACUUUGAAAAGAGAGUGCAAGAGAACGUGAAACCGGUGUAAUGGAAGCGAAUGGAGCUGUCGUAUCUGGUACGUAUUCAAUUGGCAAUCGUUGCGAUUAAGGCUAAUGUAUUUCCGCAAGGUGUGCUUGGUUUUUUGUUGUAGCGUUUGUUGAUGCACUUGCGUGCAGAGUGCGCCGGGUUGCGUGGUGCUGCCGAAUGAAGCGUGUUUAGAGGACUGAUUCGUCAGAACCCUGGGCGCGUCUAGUUUGGUUGGUGCUGCGUAGCUUCGUGGAGACGUGGGUUUUUCGCGUGCCGUCGUAUCGAUGCAGUCGGCCUUAUUAGUACACAUGUGUGCUGGUUUGGUUGGAGGUAUCGGUGCGGUGGUGUGCUCUACGCUCUUCCCGGUGUAUAGACAGUGACCCAUUCGACCCGUCUUGAAACACGGACCAAGGAGUUUAUGGUAUGCGCAAGUCAUUGAGUUUUGAAGCUUAAAGGCGUAAUGAAAGUGAGACAGUAUUUGUUUUAACGUGAUUAGGUGCGGCAUUCGUGCGGCCUAAGCAACGUUGCCCCAUUUCGAGGACUUGUCCUGUUGUGGAGGUUGAGCGUAUGCUAUGAGACCCGAAAGAUGGUGAACUAUGCCUGAACAGGACGAAGCCAGAGGAAACUCUGGUGGAAGUCCGAAGCGGUUCUGACGUGCAAAUCGAUCGUCUGAUUUUGGUAUAGGGGCGCAAGACUAAUCGAACCAUCUAGUAGCUGGUUCCUUCCGA